RNAcentral lists this ribosomal RNA (253 nucleotides) under uncultured bacterium. Its description in RNAcentral is "partial 16S ribosomal RNA". It matches the Rfam family "Bacterial small subunit ribosomal RNA", at positions 524 to 776 of the family's 1533-position model. The record is from RNAcentral.
UACAGAGGGUGCAAGCGUUAAUCGGAAUUACUGGGCGUAAAGCGCACGUAGGCGGCUUGGCAAGUCGGAUGUGCAAUCCCCAGGCUCAACCUGGGAACUGCAUCCGAGACUGGAAGGCUAGAGUACUGGAGAGGGUGGUGGAAUUCCUCGUGUAGCGGUGAAAUGCGUAGAGAUGAGGAGGAACACCAGUGGCGAAGGCGGCCACCUGGACAGUAACUGACGCUGAGGCGCGAAAGCGUGGGUAGCAAACAGG